This 401-nucleotide ribosomal RNA is filed under the name uncultured Peptoniphilus sp. RNAcentral describes it as "bacterial SSU rRNA". It matches the Rfam family "Bacterial small subunit ribosomal RNA", at positions 355 to 774 of the family's 1533-position model. The record is from RNAcentral. Lineage: Bacteria; Bacillati; Bacillota; Tissierellia; Tissierellales; Peptoniphilaceae.
UGGGGAAUAUUGCACAAUGGAGGAAACUCUGAUGCAGCGACGCCGCGUGAAUGAUGAAUGCCUUAGGGCAGUAAAGUUCUUUUAUAUGGGAAGAUAAUGACGGUACCAUAAGAAAAAGCCCCGGCUAACUACGUGCCAGCAGCCGCGGUAAUACGUAGGGGGCUAGCGUUGUCCGGAAUCACUGGGCGUAAAGGGUUCGCAGGCGGAAAUGCAAGUCAGAUGUAAAAGGCAGUAGCUUAACUACUGUAAGCAUUUGAAACUGUAUAUCUUGAGAAGUGCAGAGGUAAGUGGAAUUUUUAGUGUAGCGGUGAAAUGCGUAGAUAUUAAAAAGAAUACCGGUGGCGAAGGCGACUUACUGGGCACAUUCUGACGCUGAGGAACGAAAGCGUGGGUAGCAAACA